Salvelinus fontinalis (brook trout) is the source of this 247-nucleotide long non-coding RNA. RefSeq lists it as uncharacterized. The record is from RefSeq and is a predicted model, not a curated record. The transcript is spliced from 5 exons. Lineage: Eukaryota; Metazoa; Chordata; Actinopteri; Salmoniformes; Salmonidae.
ACUGGACCAGGCCGUACCCACUGUUACCAUGGAGAUAGAGUCAGCCCUCACCUCCAGCAAGACGGCUUUACUACAGACCGUCCCAUCAGGUUGCAUUGUAUACAGUGGAGAGUGCAAUGUCACCCCAGUUAAUGAGACAAAAGUUUGUGCUGGUGUCAACAGCGCUGCUCUACAGGGUCACCUUGACGACGGGCAGAUCAGCGGAGUCCUCUGUGAUUUCAGCGUCGAUGUUUACGCUUGUGGCUCG